RNAcentral lists this ribosomal RNA (422 nucleotides) under uncultured bacterium. Its description in RNAcentral is "partial 16S ribosomal RNA". It matches the Rfam family "Bacterial small subunit ribosomal RNA", at positions 360 to 774 of the family's 1533-position model. The record is from RNAcentral.
AAUCUUCCACAAUGGGCGCAAGCCUGAUGGAGCAACACCGCGUGAGUGAAGAGGGGUUUCGGCUCGUAAAACUCUGUUGUUGAAGAAGAACGUGCGUGAGAGUAACUGUUCACGCAGUGACGGUAUUCAACCAGAAAGUCACGGCUAACUACGUGCCAGCAGCCGCGGUAAUACGUAGGUGGCAAGCGUUAUCCGGAUUUAUUGGGCGUAAAGCGAGCGCGGGCGGUUACUUAAGUCUGAUGUGAAAGCCUUCGGCUUAACCGAAGAAGUGCAUCGGAAACUGAGUGACUUGAGUGCAGAAGAGGACAGUGGAACUCCAUGUGUAGCGGUGGAAUGCGUAGAUAUAUGGAAGAACACCAGUGGCGAAGGCGGCUGUCUGGUCUGCAACUGACGCUGAGGCUCGAAAGCAUGGGUAGCGAACA